This 1466-nucleotide long non-coding RNA is filed under the name Sorghum bicolor (sorghum). RNAcentral's name for it is "long non-coding RNA (SBIC_LNC018755)". Lineage: Eukaryota; Viridiplantae; Streptophyta; Magnoliopsida; Poales; Poaceae. The record is from RNAcentral.
CUGGAGUUGUGCUAAUAAUAGAAUUUGUGAUCGGCUUUGUCAAAAACCCUAACCUCUUGUCGCGGUUGCUUUAACGCUGUCAUCUAGGGUUUUCUACGUGAUUCAACUACGUUGUUCUUGAUAUGGUGCAAGUUUGUGUCAUACUCAUGAUAUCCUUGAUCCGAGGACUGUUUAUUAGAUUCUAACGAGGCCAUUUAGAUCAAUAUGCCAAUAGAUGAUUUGAUAGUGAGUUGAACAUACAUAAAAACUAUUAGUACAUAUUAGCAGCUCCAAAACCACUAAUAAAACUAAUUAAGAACAGUUAUCAACCUAGCUAAUAAUUAGUGGUCUUAUUGGCGGAUCUAUUUAGAUCCACUAGUAUUAAUUAAGUUUAGCUACUAAUCUUUAGUGCUAAUGGAUUCACACAUACCCUUGUAUAUAUAUACAUAAAAAUAAAUGCAUCUAGCUAAAUCUAACUGCAGGCAUAUGUAUUGUACGUAUAUUAAUUCCUUGCAAGUCGCUAGCAAGCUCUUUAGAGCAAGUAUUAUAGCAGGUUGUAAGCCAACUAAAUGCUGAGGUGGAGGAGAGAGAAGAGGAAAGAGAGUAAAAGCAGGCUGUAAGCCAAGAAAGUCUCUGAGACAAACAAGUGGGUCAUGUAUUAAUAGUGAUGAGCUAUAACCAUUAUAUAAGUGGGCGGUAAGAAAACUAUAAAAAAAAGGGCGGUAAGAAAACUAUAAAAAAAAUUUACAGCCACGAGCUAGCUGUAUUAUAAUACUUCCUCUUACACACACAAUCCCCGUUCCACUGCAUGUAUCGGUCCUUGAUUCCAUGAUUCCUAGCUACCUAGUUAGAGCUAGCCUAGCUAUAGGUACUAUGCACCUCCAAACCUUCACAAAAUAUUGCGAUCAUCACAGAAUUUUUUUAGAAAAUACAAGAACAUGUGCAAGUCUAGCUAGCUAGGAUCUGGGGUCGUUCAAUCUCUAUAAUUUUGUUUUGAGCAUUUUUUUCCUCACAGAACCAAAUAUAUAGCGCGAAAGCAUACAUGAGAGAGAUAUUUUCAAACACUGCUAGUAGACAUAUAUAUAGUUAUGAAUUGAUUGUUCAGUUAGCUAGACCUUUUCUCUAUGGACCGGCCGACACGCACACAUGAACACUACGUAUGUGAUCCGUGCAGAUCGAGUCGGUACUCAGCAGGAUCUGGUCAUCUGGAAGAAAGCUGCAUGCACCGUACCUCGCAGGACAUGCAUGUCAAACAAAAUGUUUCCUCACUUCCCUUCACAUGAGAAAUAAUUAAUUACACAGUUUAUUUAUAAUUUACGAGACGAAUCUUUUAAAACUAGUUAGUCCAUAAUUGAACAAUAUUUGUUAAAAAUACAAACGAAAGUGUUACAAUAUUUAUUUUAACCAAACAAGACGUAAGCCUUGUUUAGUUCAUCUAAGAACCAAAAACUUUUUAAGAUUUUCCGUCACAUCAAAUUUUGCGGCAC